This 507-nucleotide unclassified non-coding RNA is filed under the name Hevea brasiliensis (rubber tree). Lineage: Eukaryota; Viridiplantae; Streptophyta; Magnoliopsida; Malpighiales; Euphorbiaceae. The record is from RNAcentral.
UAUAAAAGAAUAUUGAGUGUUCUGUGUCCUGUGCAGAAUAAUCAAAGCUAAACGAACCUCGUUUUCUCAAUGAUCGAUAACUUGCUUGUCGAUGACUUGUUUAUCUUCCCCAUCAUCAAUGGUUGAACGAUUAUCACCAGAGUGAACGGAAUCAACUUCAUUUAUCUUGCCACUUUCUUGCUCAACAUAGUCCUCACCAUCCUCAGAUACUGAGCUAAUAUCCAUCUCCUUUUCUGGACUGUCAAGUUGCACACACUCAGCAACUGUAUCCUGCACAGAACUGUUAUUUUCUGAAUCGAGGCUUCUAUUCGAUGGGGUUACGUCUCCUUUUCUUACCACGUUGAAGACAAUACCGUUGUUAGUCCUUUCUGGCUGUAGAAGGUCACCUUCACCUACCAUAAUGCUUGAACUACCCGCGGGGACUCUAAUACUGAAGUCUCUUUGAUCAAAUUCGGUGUCUGAAGUUCUAUCUGGAGUUGAUACCCUUGGGCUCGGGGAGAACAGGUC